This 468-nucleotide ribosomal RNA is filed under the name uncultured bacterium. Its description in RNAcentral is "partial 16S ribosomal RNA". It matches the Rfam family "Bacterial small subunit ribosomal RNA", at positions 28 to 507 of the family's 1533-position model. The record is from RNAcentral.
GACGAACGCUGGCGGCGUGCUUAACACAUGCAAGUCGAACGGAAAGGCCCUGCUUUUUUGUGGUUCUCGAGGGGCGAAGGUGUGUGUAACACGUGAAUAACCUUCCCUUUACUUUAGGAUAACUUCAGGAAACUGGGGCUACUACCUGCUAGGAGCUCCUGCUGCAUGGUGGGGUUUGGAACGUUUCGGCGGUUGGGGAUGGACUGUGGGCUUACUAGCUUGUUGGUGGGGUAGUGGCUUACCAAGGCUUCGAUGGGUAGUCGGCCUGAGAGCUUGACCGGCGACAAUAGUACUGAGAUACGGCCCAGUCUCCUACGGUAGGCAGCAGGCGGGAAUAUUGCCCAGUGGUCGGAAGCCUGAUGAAGAAACGCCGCGUGCGGGAUGAAGGCCUUGGGGUUGUAAACCGCUUUCGCCUGUGACGAAGCGUGAGUGACGUUAAUGGGUAAAGAAGCACCGGCUAACUACGUG